GACCGCUUGGAGCAACGGUAGCGCAUUCGACUUCAGAUCGUAAGGUUGGGCGUUCGAUCCGCUCAGUAGUCA
This 72-nucleotide transfer RNA is filed under the name Angiostrongylus costaricensis. It matches the Rfam family "tRNA". From Rfam's summary of the family: Transfer RNA (tRNA) molecules are approximately 80 nucleotides in length. Their secondary structure includes four short double-helical elements and three loops (D, anti-codon, and T loops). Further hydrogen bonds mediate the characteristic L-shaped molecular structure. tRNAs have two regions of fundamental functional importance: the anti-codon, which is responsible for specific mRNA codon recognition, and the 3' end, to which the tRNAs corresponding amino acid is attached (by aminoacyl-tRNA synthetases). tRNAs cope with the degeneracy of the genetic code in two manners: having more than one tRNA (with a specific anti-codon) for a particular amino acid; and 'wobble' base-pairing, i.e. permitting non-standard base-pairing at the 3rd anti-codon position. Lineage: Eukaryota; Metazoa; Nematoda; Chromadorea; Rhabditida; Metastrongylidae. The record is from Rfam by way of RNAcentral.